RNAcentral lists this unclassified non-coding RNA (337 nucleotides) under soil metagenome. RNAcentral describes it as "partial contains 5.8S ribosomal RNA, internal transcribed spacer 2, and large subunit ribosomal RNA". The stretch from base 1 to 120 matches the Rfam family "5.8S ribosomal RNA", at positions 35 to 154 of the family's 154-position model. The record is from RNAcentral.
GAUGAAGAACGUAGCGAAAUGCGAUAAGUAGUGUGAAUUGCAGAAUUCAGUGAAUCAUCGAAUCUUUGAACGCACAUUGCGCCCCAUGGUAUUCCGUGGGGCAUGCCUGUUCGAGCGUCAUUUACCCCCUCAAGCUCCGCUUGGUGUUGGGCGUCUGUCCCGCUUCGCGCGCGGACUCGCCCCUAAGGUAUUGGCAGCGGUCGUGCCAGCUUCUCGCGCAGCACAUUGCGCUUCUCGAGGCACCGGUGGGCCCGCGUCCAUCAAGCUCACCCCCCCAGUUUGACCUCGGAUCAGGUAGGGAUACCCGCUGAACUUAAGCAUAUCAAUAAGCGGAGGA